Molecule: long non-coding RNA, 214 nt
Filed under: Lathyrus oleraceus (garden pea)
Lineage: Eukaryota; Viridiplantae; Streptophyta; Magnoliopsida; Fabales; Fabaceae
Description: Pisum sativum (pea) long non-coding RNA (PSAT_LNC032021)
Source: RNAcentral
UAGGCUCCCUUAGGCAUGAAUUUUGAGAUUCCACUUUCAAAAUGUCAGGAGUUGACUUUUCUGGCCCCACAGUUGACUUUUCCCAAACUGCCUGAUUCCCGAUUCCAUUGAUCAAUUGAAGCACCUCUGGCUCAAAUAAAGAGCUGAUUUUUUGUAUGUAGACCCUUGUGGUCAUAUAGAGGGCCAUGGAAAAGAGUUUCACCCAAGGAAUCAG